Molecule: unclassified non-coding RNA, 184 nt
Filed under: uncultured fungus
Lineage: Eukaryota; Fungi
Description: sequence contains ITS1
Source: RNAcentral
CAUGGCGGAGAAGGUGGGCACCUGGGGUAAAACUCCCAGGUGUGAUGCCUUCACGCUCUUCCACCCUUGUCUAUUUGCACCUUUUGUCGUUCCCUCGGCGGGUUUCGACCCGCCGGCGGCAACAUUGAAAAAACCUUUUUUGCAGUUAGCAUCCAAUUCUUCUGAUCAAAAUAUCAAAUCGUUA